ACCUGGCUGGCUCAGUUGGAGAAGCAUGAGAUUCUUGAUCUCAGGAUCCUGGGUUUGAGCCCCAUGUUGGGUG
Molecule: transfer RNA, 73 nt
Filed under: Mustela putorius furo (domestic ferret)
Lineage: Eukaryota; Metazoa; Chordata; Mammalia; Carnivora; Mustelidae
Rfam family: tRNA
About the family: Transfer RNA (tRNA) molecules are approximately 80 nucleotides in length.
Source: Rfam by way of RNAcentral